Molecule: ribosomal RNA, 301 nt
Filed under: uncultured bacterium
Lineage: Bacteria
Description: partial 16S ribosomal RNA
Rfam family: Bacterial small subunit ribosomal RNA
Source: RNAcentral
CAGUCGCCGCGGUAAUACGUAGGGUGCGAGCGUUAAUCGGAAUUACUGGGCGUAAAGCGGGCGCAGACGGUUACUUAAGCAGGAUGUGAAAUCCCCGGGCUCAACCUGGGAACUGCGUUCUGAACUGGGUAACUAGAGUGUGUCAGAGGGAGGUAGAAUUCCACGUGUAGCAGUGAAAUGCGUAGAGAUGUGGAGGAAUACCGAUGGCGAAGGCAGCCUCCUGGGAUAACACUGACGUUCAUGCCCGAAAGCGUGGGUAGCAAACAGGAUUAGAUACCCCUGUAGUCCCUGUCUCUUAUAA